Molecule: transfer RNA, 77 nt
Filed under: bacterium
Lineage: Bacteria
Also listed under: 1 other name
Description: tRNA-Ala
Rfam family: tRNA
About the family: Transfer RNA (tRNA) molecules are approximately 80 nucleotides in length. Their secondary structure includes four short double-helical elements and three loops (D, anti-codon, and T loops). Further hydrogen bonds mediate the characteristic L-shaped molecular structure. tRNAs have two regions of fundamental functional importance: the anti-codon, which is responsible for specific mRNA codon recognition, and the 3' end, to which the tRNAs corresponding amino acid is attached (by aminoacyl-tRNA synthetases). tRNAs cope with the degeneracy of the genetic code in two manners: having more than one tRNA (with a specific anti-codon) for a particular amino acid; and 'wobble' base-pairing, i.e. permitting non-standard base-pairing at the 3rd anti-codon position.
Source: RNAcentral
GGGCCCUUAGCUCAUUUGGCUAGAGCGCCUCGUUUGCACCGAGGAGGUGAGGGGUUCGACUCCCCUAGGGUCCACCA